UGCAAGUCGAGCGGUAAGGCCCUUUCGGGGGUACACGAGCGGCGAACGGGUGAGUAACACGUGGGUGACCUGCCUUCAGCUCUGGGAUAAGCCUGGGAAACUGGGUCUAAUACCGGAUAUGACUCCAUGAUGCAUGUUGUGGGGCGGAAAGCUUUUGCGGCUGGAGAUGGGCCCGCGGUCUAUCAGCUUGUUGGUGGGGUGAUGGCCUACCAAGGCGACGACGGGUAGCCGGCCUGAGAGGGCGACCGGCCACACUGGGACUGAGACACGGCCCAGACUCCUACGGGAGGCAGCAGUGGGGAAUCUUGCGCAAUGGGCGAAAGCCUGACGCAGCGACGCCGCGUGAGGGAUGACGGCCUUCGGGUUGUAAACCUCUUUCAGCCCUGACGAAGCGAAAGUGACGGUAGGGGCAGAAGAAGCACCGGCCAACUACGUGCCAGCAGCCGCGGUAAUACGUAGGGUGCAAGCGUUGUCCGGAAUUAUUGGGCGUAAAGAGCUCGUAGGCGGUCUGUCGCGUCGGCUGUGAAAACUCGGGGCUCAACCCCGAGCUUGCAGUCGAUGCGGGCAGGCUGGAGUUCGGCAGGGGAGACUGGAAUUCCUGGUGUAGCGGUGAAAUGCGCAGAUAUCAGGAGGAACACCGGUGGCGAAGGCGGGUCUCUGGGCCGAUACUGACGCUGAGGGGCGAAAGCGUGGGGAGCGAACAGGAUUAGAUACCCUGGUAGUCCACGCCGUAAACGGUGGGCGCUAGGUGUGGGGGCCAUUCCACGGUCUCUGUGCCGCAGCUAACGCAUUAAGCGCCCCGCCUGGGGAGUACGGCCGCAAGGCUAAAACUCAAAUGAAUUGACGGGG
Molecule: ribosomal RNA, 849 nt
Filed under: uncultured Actinomycetes bacterium
Lineage: Bacteria; Bacillati; Actinomycetota; Actinomycetes
Description: bacterial SSU rRNA
Rfam family: Bacterial small subunit ribosomal RNA
Source: RNAcentral